Triticum aestivum (bread wheat) is the source of this 1879-nucleotide long non-coding RNA. RefSeq lists it as uncharacterized. The record is from RefSeq and is a predicted model, not a curated record. NCBI's taxonomy places the organism in Eukaryota, Viridiplantae, Streptophyta, Magnoliopsida, Poales, Poaceae. The transcript has 6 exons.
UUGCAUCUCCUCCUCUCCCUCUCUCGAACCCUGACCCUGCGCCGCCGCCGCUGCCGCUCGCCAUCGCGUCCUCUCCUCCUCCACGCCCCCUCCCACCCCUCUCCAGCCAGCCUACUCCCUCCUCCCUUCCCUCCCACUCCUCCCCAUGUCCCUCGUUGCUGCACCACGCCCUCCCCCACCUUCAUAGGCAGCCUGGACCUGAUCUGGAGGAAGAAGAAGAGGGCACAAGAAGAGGAGAACAAGAAAGCUUCCCCAACUUCCCCCUUCACCAAAUAUUUGUGAUUUGAUCAUAAAGGGAUCUAUUUAGGGUUUGCUUGCUGUUCCAUCUUGGUCGUGGUCUGUUUCUGCUCUUAGCUGCUGGGCUGGUAUGUCGUGCCAUUGCUGGUGCUCGAGGUUGCUUCACUAGUCUCUUUGGAGUUCAGGCACGGAUGAACAUCAAGAUGCAGAAAAGGAAUAUAGGCUUGACUUUGGUGUAUGCUCGGCGUUAUCACUGGUGUAUCCGAUGUUGUUCAGUAUCAUAGCUCGAGCAGGAGCAAGCCUUCCACAAAGCGUUGUAUCAAGUAUCAUGGACCUAAGGUAUGCCAUCUUGCCCUGUCAUGUGCUUGUUGUUUGUGUUGUUGUCUCUAUUAGCCUGCCAUUGCUUUCAGUAUGUUUUGUGCAAUGGGUGCCAGAUAACUGUUGUGCUCUAGGGCGAACGUGCUACAACCUUUCAGGGAGACUACAUUAUCGAGCUAGGCUCGACUGAACCAGUGGUUGCACUAUUUGUUGGAACUCUGGUGAAGGCCUACGAAGGUCGAAGGGGUGUGAGCGGAAGUGCAUCGUGUCGGUGGUACAUAAAUGAUGACACUUCUGAGAUGAUAGACUUCCAUAAGAAGUACAUGCUAUCCGUUUAUCUCCGCGCUAAUUAUGUGUUGUCCUUUGCCUGAUUUGGUCAUAUGCUUAUGUUCUUGAUCUUAUUGCUAAAGGCUCCAGGGCAAGUUCUCUCCUAUAGAAAAGAUUGUCCUCCAGGGACAGACAACAGCUAUGCAUUUGCCUUGACCGUAUUGAUCUACUGAACUGCCGCAUGUAUUUUUUUUCUAUGAACUUACCACCCCUGAAGGAAAGAAGAGUAAUUCUUCCCCAGCCUCAGUCAACAAAAGGUAUGAGCUGUUCCAACAAAAAUGAUCCAAGAUGGCGUAAACAAACGAUUCUAGAUAUGUGAUGUGAAUUUGUUGGGUCUGUGACCUGCAGUGUCGGUAUAAAGAGAGUGCCAACAAGUGGUCUACCUAAGUGUGUGUUGUGUAAACCCUUGUUUUCCGAUGGUCGUGCUCAGGUAUUUCCUUUUGUUUGCUUGGUGAAAAUACAUCCAAACCUAUUCACAUGGUUGUUUGAUGGUCAGUUGACAAGGAAUAUCCGUUUAUGCCUGCUAGGGGCUUGAAAAACUGGAUGACUCUCUGCUGGUCACGGUGCAAAUCAACUGAAAGCCUGGCGGCGGAUGAAGACAAGACGUCCGCGACUAAAAGGGCCAAGCUGUAGUCCAAACGGCCCUAGGCGGAUCAUUAUUUUGGACCACAGUGUGUUGGUUAGAUGUGCUCUCGCAUUGAUGGUCUAGCGAAUGGAUGUCUCGACGUGUGUUAGAUGGUGAUGCUUCUUCCUAGGUCCAUCGUCCCUUUUGCCGUGCCGUAUUGCUUGUGAUGCGAUGUUCCGUUACACCGACCCCAGAAAACUUUAAUGUGGUGCUUAUGAAAGACCAGCCGCUGUUGGUACUAUGAUCAACAUUGGCCUUCUAUUUUGUGUGGUGUUUGUUUAGCUCUUGGUUGCUAACGAUGUAUUGUCAGUGCCAUGAGAUGGUGCUUCUGAUGGAUUAACUACUCCUGGUUCUAAUGUUGGUUUUCUAAUC